RNAcentral lists this ribosomal RNA (253 nucleotides) under uncultured bacterium. RNAcentral's name for it is "partial 16S ribosomal RNA". It matches the Rfam family "Bacterial small subunit ribosomal RNA", at positions 524 to 776 of the family's 1533-position model. The record is from RNAcentral.
UACGUAGGGGGCAAGCGUUGUCCGGAAUCAUUGGGCGUAAAGCGCGCGUAGGCGGCCCGGUAAGUCUGCUGUAAAAGUCAAAGGCUCAACCUUUGAAUGCCGGUGGAUACUGUCGGGCUAGAGUCCGGAAGAGGCGAGUGGAACUCCUGGUGUAGCGGUGGAAUGCGCAGAUAUCAGGAAGAACACCAAUGGCGAAAGCAGCUUCUGGGACGGUACUGACGCUGGAGACGCGAAAGCGUGGGGAGCGAACAGG